GACGAACGCUGGCGGCGUGCUUAACACAUGCAAGUCGAGCGGUAAGGCCCUUUCGGGGGUACACGAGCGGCGAACGGGUGAGUAACACGUGGGUGACCUGCCCUUAGCUCUGGGAUAAGCCUGGGGAAACUGGGUCUAAUACCGGAUAUGACUCCAUGACGCAUGUUGUGGGGUGGAAAGCCUUGUGCGGCUAGGGAUGGGCCCGCGGCCUAUCAGCUUGUUGGUGGGGUGAUGGCCUACCAAGGCGACGACGGGUAGCCGGCCUGAGAGGGCGACCGGCCACACUGGGACUGAGACACGGCCCAGACUCCUACGGGAGGCAGCAGUGGGGAAUCUUGCGCAAUGGGCGAAAGCCUGACGCAGCGACGCCGCGUGAGGGAUGACGGCCU
RNAcentral lists this ribosomal RNA (389 nucleotides) under uncultured bacterium. RNAcentral describes it as "bacterial SSU rRNA". It matches the Rfam family "Bacterial small subunit ribosomal RNA", at positions 28 to 417 of the family's 1533-position model. The record is from RNAcentral.